This 72-nucleotide transfer RNA is filed under the name Flavobacteriales bacterium. Its description in RNAcentral is "tRNA-Thr". It matches the Rfam family "tRNA". Rfam says of the family: Transfer RNA (tRNA) molecules are approximately 80 nucleotides in length. Their secondary structure includes four short double-helical elements and three loops (D, anti-codon, and T loops). The record is from RNAcentral. Lineage: Bacteria; Pseudomonadati; Bacteroidota; Flavobacteriia; Flavobacteriales.
GCCGGGGUAGCUCAGGGGUAGAGCGACGCUCUCGUAAAGCGUAGGUCGUGGGUUCAAAUCCCAUCCCCGGCU